CUAAGGAGCAUCUGCUCAGCCUGCUCGAAGAGUCGAGUUGGGUUGUGCCAGAGCCACUUCGGACUCGAAUGAAGUCCGGUGGUGCUCAUGGGUGGAACGCUGACAAGCUUCAUCGCAUCACGGUGCCGGCUCUGUCCGUCGCCGCGGUGAAUAUAUCGACACACUGUUGGGUCCUGAAAGAACAGACGUUCUUUCCAGGCAAGAAAUACGAUCCGCUCAGAUCUUCUGAGAUACCGGCCUUCGUUCGAGGGUGCUGGUCCUGAAAUUCCGGUUUGAGUGGGUGUGUUGUUUGAGAACUGCACAGUGGACGCGAGCAUCUUUGUUUGUAAGUGUGUAAGGGCGUAC
This 345-nucleotide unclassified non-coding RNA is filed under the name Nocardia elegans. RNAcentral describes it as "16S-23S ribosomal RNA intergenic spacer". The record is from RNAcentral. Lineage: Bacteria; Bacillati; Actinomycetota; Actinomycetes; Mycobacteriales; Nocardiaceae.